AUGAUCCUCGGAUCUUUAGAUCACGUGAUAAUUUUUCCUUUGACCUUUCUGCACUUUUCUCUCACUAACCAACUUCUGGAGCUAAAUGGGAUCGGUCCAAUAGAUUGGCAACUAUGAUUUAUAUUUUAGAGUUUCAAGUCUUUAUUCCUUUAACAUAAUACUUUUUGAAGCCUUUAAGUGCAAGCUGUGGGGUGCUUAUAUGAGCUCAUUUUCCUUAAUGUAAUGAUAAGUCUUCUACUAAGAAAAAAGAUGGUUCUGUCAUUAGUUUGGCCCUACAGUGUUGUCACUUUUGAAGAUUGUGCACUACUGACCAAUGGUCUUUACUCUACAUUAUGUCCCACCGUUGUUGUAGGAUAUUAUACGGAUUUCAUCUAUUAACAAUGU
Lupinus albus (white lupine) is the source of this 384-nucleotide non-coding RNA. NCBI's taxonomy places the organism in Eukaryota, Viridiplantae, Streptophyta, Magnoliopsida, Fabales, Fabaceae. The record is from the annotation of a GenBank genome assembly.